AACCCUCGCUGUGUGUUAUAUGUGUCACACGGGACUGCCGGUCCGUUUAAAGCCCGGAGGAAGGUGGGGAUGAUGUCAAGUCAGCAUGGCCUUUAUAUCCUGGGCUACACACACGCUACAAUGGCCAACACAAUAGGUUGCUAAGCCGCGAGGUGGCGCCAAUCCAUAAAGUUGGUCUCAGUUCAGAUUGUAGGCUGCAACCCGCCUGCAUGAAGAUGGAGUUGCUAGUAACCGCAGGUCAGCUAUACUGCGGUGAAUACGUUCCCGGGGCUU
Molecule: ribosomal RNA, 273 nt
Filed under: uncultured Leptolinea sp.
Lineage: Bacteria; Bacillati; Chloroflexota; Anaerolineae; Anaerolineales; Anaerolineaceae
Description: partial 16S ribosomal RNA
Rfam family: Bacterial small subunit ribosomal RNA
Source: RNAcentral